This 695-nucleotide ribosomal RNA is filed under the name uncultured Staphylococcus sp. RNAcentral's name for it is "bacterial SSU rRNA". It matches the Rfam family "Bacterial small subunit ribosomal RNA", at positions 64 to 741 of the family's 1533-position model. Lineage: Bacteria; Bacillati; Bacillota; Bacilli; Caryophanales; Staphylococcaceae. The record is from RNAcentral.
GAGCGAACGGACGAGAAGCUUGCUUCUCUGAUGUUAGCGGCGGACGGGUGAGUAACACGUGGAUAACCUACCUAUAAGACUGGGAUAACUUCGGGAAACCGGAGCUAAUACCGGAUAAUAUUUUGAACCGCAUGGUUCAAAAGUAAAAGACGGUCUUGCUGUCACUUAUAGAUGGAUCCGCGCAGCAUUAGCUAGUUGGUAAGGUAACGGCUUACCAAGGCAACGAUGCAUAGCCGACCUGAGAGGGUGAUCGGCCACACUGGAACUGAGACACGGUCCAGACUCCUACGGGAGGCAGCAGUAGGGAAUCUUCCGCAAUGGGCGAAAGCCUGACGGAGCAACGCCGCGUGAGUGAUGAAGGUCUUCGGAUCGUAAAACUCUGUUAUUAGGGAAGAACAUAUGUGUAAGUAACUGUGCACAUCUUGACGGUACCUAAUCAGAAAGCCACGGCUAACUACGUGCCAGCAGCCGCGGUAAUACGUAGGUGGCAAGCGUUAUCCGGAAUUAUUGGGCGUAAAGCGCGCGUAGGCGGUUUUUUAAGUCUGAUGUGAAAGCCCACGGCUCAACCGUGGAGGGUCAUUGGAAACUGGAAAACUUGAGUGCAGAAGAGGAAAGUGGAAUUCCAUGUGUAGCGGUGAAAUGCGCAGAGAUAUGGAGGAACACCAGUGGCGAAGGCGACUUUCUGGUCUGUAACU